GCCAUGGCAGUUGAAGUGGUGUCAUAGCACUAUGGACUAUGACUCUGGAGACCAGGGUUCAAAUCCCAGCUCUGCCA
Non-coding RNA from Phrynosoma platyrhinos (Desert horned lizard), 77 nucleotides. Lineage: Eukaryota; Metazoa; Chordata; Lepidosauria; Squamata; Phrynosomatidae. The record is from the annotation of a GenBank genome assembly.